UACAUAGGGGGCAAGCGUUAUCCGGAAUUACUGGGCGUAAAGGGUGAGUAGGCGGUUUUAUAAGUCAUAUGUGAAAAUCCAGUUCUCAAGGCUGGACUUGCAUAAGAAACUGUAGAACUAGAGUGCAGGAGAGGUAAGCGGAAUUCCUAGUGUAGCGGUAAAAUGCGUAGAUAUUAGGAAGAACACCAGUGGCGAAGGCGGCUUACUGGACUGUAACUGACGCUGAUACACGAAAGCGUGGGGAGCGAACAGG
Molecule: ribosomal RNA, 253 nt
Filed under: uncultured bacterium
Lineage: Bacteria
Description: partial 16S ribosomal RNA
Rfam family: Bacterial small subunit ribosomal RNA
Source: RNAcentral